This 301-nucleotide ribosomal RNA is filed under the name uncultured bacterium. RNAcentral's name for it is "partial 16S ribosomal RNA". It matches the Rfam family "Bacterial small subunit ribosomal RNA", at positions 509 to 808 of the family's 1533-position model. The record is from RNAcentral.
CAGUCGCCGCGGGAAUACGGAGGGUGCAAGCGUUAAUCGGAAUUACUGGGCGUAAAGCGCACGCAGGCGGUCUGACAAGUCAGAUGUGAAAUCCCGGGCUUAACCUGGGAACUGCAUUUGAAACUGUCAGGCUGGAGUCUUGUAGAGGGGGGUGGAAUUCCAGGUGUAGCGGUGAAAUGCGUAGAGAUCUGGAGGAAUACCGGUGGCGAAGGCGGCCCCCUGGACAAAGACUGACGCUCAGGUGCGAAAGCGUGGGGAGCAAACAGGAUUAGAUACCCGAGUAGUCCCUGUCUCUUAUACC